CUCGUCUAUCCUAGCGUCUCUCUCUCUCUCUCUCUCUCUCUCUCUCUCACUCAUUUUCCUAAACCUUCGUUGCAUCUCCUCUCCAAAAACCCAAACCCUAGACCUUACCUUCUUUGAAUCUACUCGCCAAAACCCCCAACCCUAGACCUCACCUUCUCGUCUCUCCUCUAGGGUUUAAGGUCUUGAAUCGCAGAAAGAUCGGAUGUUGUUGCAGAGUGAAUAUAAUGCGUAGCAUGAACUGAAGACAACUACCUUCAAUCAGUAUGGGUUUCGAUAUUGAGUGCAUACAGAAUAUCCAGUCUCUUGCCGGAGAAUACUUCUGUCCUGUUUGUCGCUUGCUCGUCUAUCCGGAUGAAGCAUUGCAAACACAAUGCACUCAUCUGUACUGCAAACCCUGCUUAGCUUAUGUUGUGAGCAACACCCACACCUGCCCCUACGAUGGCUACCCGGUGACAGAAGCAGAAACCAAGCCUCUCAAGGAAUCAAAUCAAGCGCUUGCUGAAACCAUAGGGCAAAUUGCAGUGACAUGUCUGUACCAUAGGAGUGGAUGCACAUGGCAGGGUCUGUUGUCAGAGAGUACUGCCCAUUGUGCUGGGUGCAGCUUCGGCAAUUCCCCUGUUAUGUGUAACAGGUGUGGAGCACAUAUUGUGCAUCGUCAAGUACUGGAACACUCACAGAUCUGCCUUGGUGAACAGCCUCUAGCACAACAAGUGGCGAAUGCGCCAGCUGCUGCAGAGCAGGGCCAAGCUGCUACUCCAGCAGGAGCAACUGCAUCCCAAGACCAGAACUCACAGAAUGUGACAGCUCCUGCAACUGGGCAAGGUCAAAGUCAAGCGGCUGUAAAUGCACAGCCACAGGCAGUGGCUCAGGCCCCGACACCAGAGCAGUGGUAUCAGCAACAGCAACAAUACUAUCAGCAAUACUAUCAACAGUAUCCUGGUUAUGACCCGUAUCAGCAGCAGUAUCAGCAGUAUGCACAAUAUCAACAACAGCAGUUGCAGGCUCAUCCCCAGCAGCAGGUAAUACAAGGGCAACCUCAACCUCAGCCAUACAUGCAGCCCCAGCACCAUCCCCAGCCACAGCCGCAGGCGCAGGCACCAGCUCAGCUCCAAUCUCAGCCCCAGCCCCAGCCCCAGCCCCAGCCCCAGCCCCAACCCCAGCCUCAGCCCCAGCCCCAGCCCCAACCCAUCUCCCAACCCCAGCCCCAGCCACAGCCCCAGCAGCACCCCCAACCUCAGAUGGCUGUGCAACCUCAAAUACAGCCACAAAUCAACCCACAACAGCAACUUCAUGGACCAGUGCAGCCCCAUCCUCAACUGCAACCACAAACGCAUCCACCACCCCAGUCGCAAAUGCAAUCACAACAGUUGGGUCAUCCCCAUCCUCAGCCACAUCCCCAAGCUCAUCCACAGUCGCACCCACAGCAACAUUCCCAGAUGCCGCAACAUCCUCAGCCUCAUUCCCAAAUGCCUCAUCUCCAGCCACAUCUCCAGCACCCACCGCAGCAGCAACCCCAACUUCAUCCACAUGUCCAUCCUCAGCCCCACCUCCAACAUCCUCCUCAUAUGCAGCUGCAGCAGCCCCAGCCUCAUCCGCAUCCUCAGGCUCAGCUGCAACCCCAGCCCCAGCCUCAUAACCAGCCACCUCCACAUUUCCAGCCCCAGCCCCAGUCCCAGUCCCAGCCCCAGUCCCAACAUCCACCAGCACAUGCUGUGACGGGGCACCAGUCUUACCCACAAGCUCGGCCUCACCAACAAAUGUUGCCAGGUGCUGCACAACAACAUCCCAUGCAUGCACAUCCCCAGCCCCAGGGUGCAGCCCACCAACCGCCUCAACAUCCUGGUCAAUUCCCGCCACAGCAGCCACCUCAGAUGCGUCCACACAAUCCUCCACCCCAGUCCCAUGCCCCGAUGCAACACCCACAACAACCUGCUAUAAUGCCUGCCCAAGGGCAGCUUCCAAAUGUUCCUCCUGUUCAGCAACAGCCAGCAUAUCAUCAGGCACAUCAUCCGGUUCAACAAAUCCAUCAUCACCCUGGAAUGCAGCUGCCUCAACAUCAACCCGUGCCUCAUCAGCAGGCUCAUGGGCUUGUGCAUCAGCCCCAGCCUUUUCCCGGGCCAGCACCUGCUUCAGUUCACAAUCAGCCACAUCAGCAGGGCCCUUUCGUGCCACAGCAACCUAUGCAACAACCUCAGCAAUCUUUACGUCCUCAGGCCCCACCGCCAUUGCAGCAGCAUGCUCAUGCCCAUCCACAAUGGCAGCAUAACAUUCCAUCAGCACAGGGUGUGCUGACUCAUCAAUCUCAAAGUCAUGCUGGGAGGCCUAUGAUGCCAAGUCAUGCUGCAAUGCACCAAUCCUUUCCACAUCCUUCUAGUGGUACGGCUGGACCAACCCAUGUUCAGGAUGCUCGUGUAAUGGCUAAGCCAGGGCAACAUGGUGCUGACCAAUUGCAAGAGUCUUCAAUGCCACGGUCUGGUAACCAAACCGCCUCCCUGGGUCUACACCCUGGGACAAAUGCUCCCCAGGUAUCUGCUGCCGAUGCUUCCAUGAAACCAACACACGAAGAUUCUGUGUCUGAGAAAAUUUCGAAGGUGCCUGAGUUGGAGGCUGAAGCGGUUGAUACUGAAGGAACAGAUGUUAAUGAUUCUCUAACUGCACGUAGUGAUGGAGCAGAUUCGGCUGAGUUAAAGAUUCCAAAGUCAGAAAACAAUUUGAAGUCUGGGCAUGGUGAAGAGAAUCUACUUAUUGAGACUGAAUACGGGGAUGCCUCAGCUGUUCAUGGAAAAGACGUGGAGUCAUCUGCACAGAAUGUCGAUUCAGAGGAGCCAUUAACUAAGCAGACAGUGAAGGAAGAAGCCACUGAACAGUCAGAGCCUUCACCAAGUGCCAUGUCAUCAGAUACUGUAAAUGAGGACAAAGGAGUUGCUUCUAAGCAGGAUGAGAGUUCCCUGCACGUGGUCAAGGAAGUCCCAGAAGGUUCACUGCAUGAAAACCUUUCUUCGCAACCAUCAGAGAAUCUUGAAGGGCAGAAUGUUAAGACGCAGCACAAUGCAGCUGAUCCUCAGAUGCCUCAAUCAUGGCCAGAUGCUAGAAGUGCCAUCCCUAGAGGACAUGUUCCUGGGAACGAAAGAAGCAGCAUGCAUGCUUCUACUCAACAUCUGCCAACUGUUGUCGGUUUUGACAGGAAUCCUUUGCAACAGCCUCCCCACCAGAAUGUUGGUCCAAGUCAUGAGAGGCCAUUACCCCGUCCUGGUUAUAAUGAUGGGAAUAUGCCCCAGUUCCAUCGCCAAGGGCCAGGCCCAGGCCCAGAUGAAUACAGGGGCUUGCCACCAGCUGGUCAGAUUCCAUCCAGGAACUUCACACAGCCUGCUCAUCAGGUACCAAUUCCUGAUCAAGAAAGAUACCAGCAGAUGCCUAUGCCUUAUGGGCAGCAUCUCCAUAUGCCAGAUCGUGGACCACAACGGCCUCCUGCUCCUGAUCGGAUGUUACCUACACCGUUGCCUCUUCCUGGGCCUAAUCAAGAGCGAAGGCUGCAAGAGCCUCCACCUCAUCAAACACAGGUGCAAGGGCAGCUGUUGGCCCCCAUGAGGCCUCAGGGCCCCCAACAGGGCCGUCCUUCAAUUGUCCAACAUCCUGGUUCCUUGCGUCAAGAAGUUCCACCUGGCAGCAUGCCUUAUCCAGGCAUGUCUGCCUCAUUUGGGAAGGAGCCAGGUCAUUUCGGUCUUCCACAGAGAGGUUUUGAGCCACGACCUGGCCUACCUCAAGGGCAUAAUCAAGGUCAUAUGGCCCUGCCACAUGCAGGUGGGCCCAGAUUUUCUCAAGGAGAACCUUUCGCUGGACCACCUCCUGGACCAUUCGAAUCUCCUGGAGGCAUGAUGGCGAGGGGGUCUCAAGGUCCUGAAGGUCAAAUUGGUCGGCACCAUCCCACUAAUCCCAUGGAGGCUGAAAUGUUUGCAAAUAAGAGGCCUGGUUUCUUUGAUGGUCGGCAGCAUGAUCCUCACCUGCCCUUAUCUGCAGAACGUGUUCCGUUUGGACAGUCCUCUGGUACAAGUAUGAUGAAAAUUAAUGGGGUUCCAGGCAAGGGUUUGGUUGGUGGCGUACCUGAUGCAUCGUUUCCACAUGGUGCGCAAGAGGAAAGAUUCAAGCCUUUUCCAGAAGAGAGGCAUAAACCCAUUUUGGAAGAAGGAUUCAAGCUGCCACCAGAAGAGCAGUUUAAUAAGCCUUUCUCUCUGGAGCAUGGUCGCCGUGCUAUCGAUCGAAGAGAGUUUGAGGAAGAUCUCAAACAAUUUCCUAGGCCUUCUCAUUUGGAUGGUGAUAAUGUUCCUAAGUUUGAAAAUCACUUCUCCUCAUCAAGGCAUUUUGAUAGGGGGCAACAUGGAUUUGGUAUGGACAGGCCACACGGUUUUGGUCGUGAUGCUGGACCCGAUGCAGGUGCCAGUUUUCCAGUUGGUAGUGGUGGUCCUUCAGUACAUCCAGUAGAUAUUGGAGAAAGAUCGAGGCCUAUUGCUCUUCAUGAUAACAUGGGGAAAAAGAUAGAUCCUGCUGGGGCCCACACAGAUAUCCUUGGACCUGUUUCAGAAUUUGGUCGGCAUCGUAUGGAUCUGCCUCCUCCAAGGAGUCCUGGUAGAGAUUACCCUGGCUUUCCCUCAAGAAGAUUCGGGAGCAAUUCGGCUGGUCUUGGGUUAGGUAGCCAUUCACGCCUUGAAGAUUUUGAUGGCAGAGAACCACAUGCUUUUGGGUCAGGCCCAUUGCCAAGCCAUUUACGCAGAGGCGAACUUGAUGGUCCUCGAAAUUUGCGAAUAGGUGAGCAGCUUGGAUCUGGUAAUCUGCCUGUCCAUUUAAGGAGUGGUGAAUUGGUUGGUCCAGAUAUUGUGCCUAGCCACUUACGGGGCAGUGAGUCUCUUGGCCCUGGUGGUCAUAUGCGCAGCGGUGAGCCAUUGGGUCCCCGUCACUUGUCCAGCCACUUGCGCAUUGGGGAACCAUUAGGACCAGAUCAAUUGCGUAUGCUUGAGCCAACAGGUUUUGGUGGACUUCCCAGCCAUUUACGGAUGGGUGAGCUGGCUGGGCCAGGGAAUUUGCCUCCACACUUGCGUAUUGGCGAGCCAGGAUUUGGUAGCAGUCUGCCUAUGUAUGGUUUGCCAAAUGAAAGUGGUUUUUUUAAUCAGGAUUCUAUUCAAAGUGACAUGGAGUCUUUUGAUCACCCAAGAAAGAGGAAAGCUGGGAGCAUGGGAUGGUGCCGCAUUUGCAAAAUUGACUGUGAAACAGUUGAAGGUCUGGAUCUGCAUUCACAGACAAGAGAGCACCAGAAGAUGGCGAUGGAUAUGGUUCUGAGCAUCAAGCAGGAUAAUGCAAAGAAGCAGAAAAUAUCUUCUGAAGACCGUGUUUCACUUGAAGAUGGAAACAAAUCUAGGAAGGCUGGCUUUGAGAGUCGUGGAAAUAGGCAUUAGAUUUGUCAACUGCUGCAAAAUGGAGGAAAUGGUCUAAUGCUAAUGAAGUUGAAUGGUUGCUGAUGGGGAUUCGUGUUUUGGUUCUUCAGCAAUUUUCCUCACAAAUGCGCAUAUUGGGCAUCUCCACUUUGCUACCUGCAGCCUAAUCAGCAUGUUAAAGGACAUGGUCUUUAACCUUUUCGGGCAUGCAAUUUUCCCUAGUUGUGCUGUCAUUAAAACAGUCCAGCCAUUCUUCAUUAUGUGGCCCCAUCGAUCAAUUUUGUCAUCCUUCGAGUUCCACAAUUCUGAUCAGCCAGAUUGUGGGGUUUACCUUUAUUCCUGUAUUGUAUAUUUUUCCAAUGGCAGGCUGUCAUAAGGUAUGCAAAAGAGAAAUGUUAAUGAUGUAGAAAUCUAGUUUGAGUUCUUUUUUAGUUAGCAUCUUUUUUCUUGGUAUUUUCAGUAGGCUUACUUUGCUCCUGUCUGUUGUUUUCUGGUUUCAUAUGUUCUGAACAUCAGAGUUUCCAAUACAUCAACCUGUUUGCCUUCUAGUUGGAUGUACCUAUAACAAUUAGCCCAUGUGCUCGAAAAUUUCAGAUGCAUCUUUGGUCUGAAAAUAUUAGUAGCUAGAUGCAUUGUUGCCAAAAGAAAAGGGGAAAAAAAAACCUGCAGCUAAGCAACAUGAUGACGGUGGAUUCCAUUCUUGGUUUGUUGAAACUAAGUAAAUUUGUCCAAGUUGACUCAAUGUCUACCAAGAUUGAACUGCAACUCUAACCCCUGGAAAUAUGAACACAUAGGGACUCAUCCUAUUUCAACUAAGUCCCUGUGUGACUCAUCCAUUUCGGCCUAUUUAGGCCAUUAUGAUGCGGAUAGGCCCUGUUUCUACACUGUCGAAUAUGUACUGCUUGAAGGGUGCUUGGAUGGAGAGACCAAAACAUGGACAUGAAAAGCCAAAAUGGAAGCAUCUGGAAAUGGAAAUAUGCGGAUUCCAAAAAUAAUCAUGUUUUUUGGUUUGCACAGCAGUUAGACAUGGAAAUGUUAAAAGUUGAAGGUCAAAUUGUGAGAGCUGGCUUUUGUAACCUUGGAAUUAGUGCUAUCAAAAUCCUACGAUUUACGAUAUAUACGAUUUUAGUCACAUCUUAAGCAAAAUGAUUUGAAUCCCACCUUUCCUUGAAUCUUGUUCUAUAUGAAUCCUACAAUUUACGAUUCAAAUCGUGAUUUAUGAUUCAAAUUACACUUGGGGCUUUAAGAAUCAUUUAGGAAAAAACUUGU
RNA transcript from Magnolia sinica, 6695 nucleotides. RefSeq lists it as uncharacterized. Lineage: Eukaryota; Viridiplantae; Streptophyta; Magnoliopsida; Magnoliales; Magnoliaceae. The transcript is spliced from 9 exons. The record is from RefSeq and is a predicted model, not a curated record.